AUCUAUGGCCAUACCACCCUGAACGUGCCGGAUCUCGUCUGAUCUCGGAAGCUAAGCAGGGUCGGGCCUGGUUAGUACUUGGAUGGGAGACCGCCUGGGAAUACCAGGUGCUGUAGGCU
Ribosomal RNA from Mustela erminea (ermine), 119 nucleotides. The record is from RefSeq and is a predicted model, not a curated record. NCBI's taxonomy places the organism in Eukaryota, Metazoa, Chordata, Mammalia, Carnivora, Mustelidae.